UACGUAGGGGGCAAGCGUUGUCCGGAUUUAUUGGGCGUAAAGAGCGUGUAGGCGGUUUGGUAGGUCCGCUGUGAAAACUCGAGGCUCAACCUCGAGACGCCGGUGGAAACCAUCAGACUAGAGUCCGGAAGAGGAGAGUGGAAUUCCUGGUGUAGCGGUGAAAUGCGUAGAUAUCAGGAGGAACACCUGUGGCGAAAGCGGCUCACUGGACCAUAACUGACGCUGAGGAGCGAAAGCGUGGGGAGCGAACAGG
This 253-nucleotide ribosomal RNA is filed under the name uncultured bacterium. Its description in RNAcentral is "partial 16S ribosomal RNA". It matches the Rfam family "Bacterial small subunit ribosomal RNA", at positions 524 to 776 of the family's 1533-position model. The record is from RNAcentral.